GAAUAUUGGACAAUGGGGGGAACCCUGAUCCAGCCAUGCCGCGUGUGUGAAGAAGGCCUUUUGGUUGUAAAGCACUUUAAGCGAGGAGGAGGCUACUUAGAUUAAUACUCUAGGAUAGUGGACGUUACUCGCAGAAUAAGCACCGGCUAACUCUGUGCCAGCAGCCGCUGUAAUACAGGGGGUGCAAACGUUAAUCGGAUGUACUGGGAUUAAAGCGCGCGUAGGUGGCCAAGUAAGUCAAAUGUGAAAUCCCCGAGCUUAACUUGGGAAUUGCAUUCGAUACUGGUUGGCUAGAGUAUGGGAGAGGAUGGUAGAAUUCCAGGUGUAGCGGUGAAAUGCGUAGAGAUCUGGAGGAAUACCGAUGGCGAAGGCAGCCAUCUUGCCUAAUACUGACACUGAGGUGCGAAAGCAUGGGGAGCAAACAG
Molecule: ribosomal RNA, 425 nt
Filed under: uncultured bacterium
Lineage: Bacteria
Description: bacterial SSU rRNA
Rfam family: Bacterial small subunit ribosomal RNA
Source: RNAcentral